ACGCUCGACACCUACGGGAGGCAGCAGUCGGGAAUAUUGCGCAAUGGAGGAAACUCUGACGCAGUGACGCCGCGUGCAGGAAGAAGGUUUUCGGAUUGUAAACUGCUUUAGACAGGGAAGAAAGAAAUGACAGUACCUGUAGAAUAAGCUCCGGCUAACUACGUGCAAGCAGCCGCGGUAAUCUGAGCGGGCUGGCAAGGC
RNAcentral lists this ribosomal RNA (201 nucleotides) under uncultured bacterium. RNAcentral describes it as "partial 16S ribosomal RNA". It matches the Rfam family "Bacterial small subunit ribosomal RNA", at positions 328 to 539 of the family's 1533-position model. The record is from RNAcentral.